GGGGGCCUGGAUCAGGCAUGGGGAGCCAGAAUUAAUCAGGCCCCGGCUUACCUGAUACAGAGGAGGCAUUCUGGAGUCCCAGUGCCCAGGAAAGAAGACGGGAGGCAGUAGCAGAGCCUGGGAGAGAUGGCCUGAGGAUGUUGUGAUGGAAGACUGUAUAUGAUCAUAUGCACUGCUGUCCAGGCUGCAGAGCCAUGUGGGGGCAAG
This 207-nucleotide long non-coding RNA is filed under the name Homo sapiens (human). RNAcentral's name for it is "HSALNT0236451". The record is from RNAcentral. Lineage: Eukaryota; Metazoa; Chordata; Mammalia; Primates; Hominidae.